This 91-nucleotide non-coding RNA is filed under the name Streptococcus sp. RNAcentral describes it as "THF-I sequence". It matches the Rfam family "THF (Tetrahydrofolate) riboswitch aptamer". From Rfam's summary of the family: THF riboswitch presents a pseudoknot that joins P1-P2 and the loop of P3 and two THF binding. The record is from RNAcentral. Lineage: Bacteria; Bacillati; Bacillota; Bacilli; Lactobacillales; Streptococcaceae. RNAcentral also lists the same sequence under 1 other name.
AACAGAGUAGACAGAAGGCGUUAAGUGUUCGCAAAUGGGAAGUUGUUGCGAAACGAAGUCUAGCACGCGACCGACUGUUGCAUCCGCUGUU